UGAGAUCACUCCACUGCACUCCAGCCUGGGCAAAAGAACGAGACUCAUCUCAAAAACAGAAAGAAAAAAAAUAAAGGAAGAAUAAUCAAAAUUGGUUUUUGUAAUCACAGGUUUUUUUCUUUUCUUCUUUUUUUUAAUGUUAGUUUCUUAUUAUAAAAGUAACAUAGGUUUGUUUUCAUAACAUCACAGGGUUUCCUCUCUUAACCUUGCAGACUUCAGCAGAUGCUUCCUCCUAGGAAAGUGUUUGUCCUGGGACCUGUGCGGAGACCAAGGGGGUUGGAAGGAGAAGGAGCUGGCUUGGGAGGUUUUGUCUGCUGGGCAGGCACUGACCUCCUCUUCAGGUGCUGCCUGACAUAUGAAAAUGAAUGGAGGGGAGUUUGACUCUAAAGUCAGCCUCAGGCUUUGGGCACUGUAUGGCUCCAUCUGCACCAAGCACCAUAGUGAAUGUGGGAAGUUAAUGCAGAUGAAUUACCGAGAAGUGGCUCUAGUGUGCUCCAGUCAGUGGUCUGAGCUAUUUUAGUUGUUUUAGUGAUUGAAUCAAAUGACCCCAUUUGCUUGCAUUGUUUGAUUGCUGGUUAGUCUGGAAACUGUCAAUUUUAUAUUAACAAGUCUUAACAGGAACUAUGGUAAUAGGCAAACCAAAUGGAUAUAAUACUUUUUUUUUUCUCUUUUACUUUCCAAACUAUUUUAUUUAAAAAAAACCUGCAGUGCAGUAUUAAAAAGCAAUACAUUCAGCAGGAGUGACAACCAACAGAAACAAAGGGAGGAGGGUACAGAAUACCAGGGACCCUACCUCAACUGAUCCCCAGGUCUGGAGGCCAGGGGCAGAC
This 830-nucleotide long non-coding RNA is filed under the name Homo sapiens (human). Its description in RNAcentral is "HSALNT0158637". Lineage: Eukaryota; Metazoa; Chordata; Mammalia; Primates; Hominidae. The record is from RNAcentral.